RNAcentral lists this unclassified non-coding RNA (814 nucleotides) under Hevea brasiliensis (rubber tree). Lineage: Eukaryota; Viridiplantae; Streptophyta; Magnoliopsida; Malpighiales; Euphorbiaceae. The record is from RNAcentral.
ACCAGCAUCGGUGGAUUUAGCAUUUUUCUUUUCAUAAACUUCUGCUCGUAUUCGUUCCUAAGCUAACUGCAGUUUCCAUCAACUGUUCCGGCGGAGUUAGGGCUAUGGCUCGAGGAGGGAAAAAGGCAGCAAAUGGAGAAUCCAAUCCAGAUAUGGAGGAGAAGAAGAGGUUAAAGAAACUUGCAAUUUCGAAGCAAAUGCUCUCAGAGAAUCCUUCAAGGGUUAAUAAUUUUCUGAGUCCAUCAAAAACUGUGAUUAAACACCAUGGUAAAGACAUUUUGCGCAAAUCUCAACGGAAGAAUCGUUUCCUCUUUUCUCUUCCCGGUUUACUUGCCCCGGUUUCCGGAGGUAAAAUUGGUGAGCUCAAAGACCUUGGUACCAAAAACCCUAUUCUCUACCUCGACUUCCCUCAGGGUCAAAUGAAGUUGUUUGGGACAAUUGUAUAUCCAAAGAAUGGUUAUCUGACUAUGCAGUUCUCCAGAGGUGGGAAGAAUGUAGUGUGUGAAGAUUACCUUGACAAUAUGAUUGUGUUUUCUGAUGCAUGGUGGAUAGGGAGGAAAGAUGAGAAUCCUGAAGAAGCACGACUCGAGUUUCCAAAAGAGCUGAACGUGCAGCAAGAGCAAUUGGAGUGUGAUUUUAAAGGUGGUGCUGGUGCUACAUGUGUUAAAAAACGAAGUACUAGUGAAUGUGGGGUCAAGCAUGUGGAACAACAGUCUCCUGAACAUGAACAGGAGGAGUUAUUAUCAGAAAGUCAAAAUGAUUCAAAAGAUUUUAUCGAAUUAACUCCAUCUCGUCGUUCAGCAAGGGCAGCAGG